This 65-nucleotide transfer RNA is filed under the name Ephemera serica. RNAcentral describes it as "tRNA-Met". The record is from RNAcentral. Lineage: Eukaryota; Metazoa; Arthropoda; Insecta; Ephemeroptera; Ephemeridae.
AGAAAAGUAAGCUAAAUUUAAGCUAAUAGGUUCAUACCCUAUAUAUGGGUUAAACCCCUUUUCUA